UACAGAGGGGGCAAGCGUUAUUCGGAAUUAUUGGGCGUAAAGGGCGCGUAGGCGGCCUGGCAAGUGGAAGGUGAAAUCCCUCGGCUUAACCGAGGAACUGCAUUGGAUACUGGAAAGCUAGAGGACGAUAGAGGAUGGUGGAAUUCCUGGUGUAGGGGUGAAAUCCGUAGAUAUCAGGAGGAACAUCAGUGGCGAAGGCGGCCAUCUGGAUCGUACCUGACGCUGAGAUACGAAAGCGUGGGGAGCAAACAGG
This 253-nucleotide ribosomal RNA is filed under the name uncultured bacterium. RNAcentral's name for it is "partial 16S ribosomal RNA". It matches the Rfam family "Bacterial small subunit ribosomal RNA", at positions 524 to 776 of the family's 1533-position model. The record is from RNAcentral.